CAUGGAAAAUCGAGUUAUAUGCCUUGGCAAUACUCUACUGGGACACUCUAAAGUCCCCCAUUCUUGACAAUUGUUUCGUCAUUGUCCCCUUUUCUCCCGCAUCUCUUCAACAGCACUCGCCGCUAUCUCAAUUAUCAAUUUGAUUUAAUGAUUUCUGUUUAUGUGCAUAUUAUGUGUUUGUGAAAAUUCGUUGAUUUACUGAUUACCAGCGAUGUCUAUUUUAAAAUGGCCGUUGUGUAUGAGCCGACGCUAUAUGUAUAUUUCCGUUUCUGCCUCAUAAAAUUUUCCAUUGGCUCUUUAAAAAGCUACUUGAAUCAGAUAUGGAGAUGAUACAUUGCCUGUAGGAGUUACGUAGCUGCGGCAUCCAGUACAGGGCUGCUUAGUUACCAAUCUUGCCAUCCUCUGGAGUUGAUACAUUGCCUGUAGGAAUUACGUAGCUGCUAGAUAGAUCUAAAGGUGACUUCCCUGCUAAUUAGUCAAGUACAAGAGUAUUAAACCUCCAUGAAUGAGAGUAAUAGCAUACAUUUGACACCUUAGUUUUAUUAAUAUAUACAUGAAACACAAUUUACUUUUGAAAAAUAAUGUCAGAAGUCUUAUUCCAUUAUUGUCAAAUAGAAUUGGUACUGCAUUCCAUUAUCGUCUGAGAUGGGUUCUUAAUAUGUCUCUAGGAGAUUCUUGGUUCUUUCCUAAUGAAACAUGUAAUAUUUACUCUCUCUCCUCUUCACUGAUCUGUUAAGUUGAGUUCCAAAUUACUUGUUAAGUUGAUUUAGUUAUUUGCCUUAUUAAUUGGCGUGUGGUAGACGUGUGUCUUUUUGUACUUCUUGUGAACUGUUUUUUGGAAUUUUGCAUUCUUGGGAGUAUCUUUUUAUGUGUUGAUGAUGCCUUAUCUCCGGAAUAUCUUUGUCCGUAUAUUAUGGGAUAAACCAAUAUUUUGCCAUCCAAUUUUGGGGUUUAAUGCAGAAUUUUAUACUUUCUUUUUACCCUUGGUUUUGUGGACCAAGUGAAUUUUUAGAUAGGAUUCUCUUGAAGGGAUAAUGACUUUAUUUAUACUCUUUUGUAGGUGGAGUAGAAAUGAAAGACAGAGGCGGUGAUGAAGAUCUAGACCUUACUUAAGAGAAUUUUGAAUUAUUGAUUGUUGUAGAUGCAUGUGGCGGUUUUUAGGAAUGUUUGUUAUCAAGACAUUUUAAAACAUUUUUUAUUUAUAUAAUUUUUAGUGUUUUAUAGUUUAUUGUAUACAUAUGUAAAUCUUUAUUUAGAAAAGGGGCAAUAUUUUCAAUUCAAUUAAACUGUUACAAUAGCUAACAGAACCGUUGCCAUAGGACUUGCAAACUGUUCCAAAAUAAUCUAAAACCGUU
Molecule: long non-coding RNA, 1355 nt
Filed under: Nicotiana tabacum (common tobacco)
Lineage: Eukaryota; Viridiplantae; Streptophyta; Magnoliopsida; Solanales; Solanaceae
Description: long non-coding RNA (NTAB_LNC006467)
Source: RNAcentral